Molecule: non-coding RNA, 617 nt
Organism: Pelobates cultripes (western spadefoot toad)
Lineage: Eukaryota; Metazoa; Chordata; Amphibia; Anura; Pelobatidae
Source: the annotation of a GenBank genome assembly
CAUUGCUAUACAGCAUUUCCAGGUAAUGUAGACAGACUGGGAUUUUUUGGAUAUCCUAAGCCUGUCUGCAUUUUUUCUAUCUUUCUUGUGGCAUAAAUAAAAAGAAAAGCAUACCAGACCUAGUGAGAAGACGGACAAGAGUCAACAAAUAAGCCCCCAACGUUUGCUUCAGAUUCAUUAGGACUAUAGAUAACUCUCCAUAACUUCCCAUUAAAAAUAAUAAAUGCUGUGGGUAUCGUUUAUUAUGAGCCAUCAUUUAUGAUGGCUGAUAGGAAAAGGUCAAGGCAAAGCAGCCAAAAUUAGAUACAAUUCCAAUUUUGUCAUUUUGGUGUAACUAGCAACAAAUACAAGACCAUUUUUUUUCUCAGAAUUAGACUUUUGUAGCUAACUAUUAAAAACGAAUAUGCACAGCAUUAAUUAGGAUGAGCAAGACUCUUCUACCCAUAUAAAGAAUGUGUCCUGGACCAGCUCCAGUGCUUUUAAUCAGUGCUACGUUACUUUAUAAAGCAUGGUUUAAAAAUACACCACCAAGCCUCCAAAAUAGAAAAUGAAUGGGUUACAUAACAAAGAAGCUGUCAAUUAAUCUGAAUAUGAUUAAACUAAUAAUUAAAAAUGUU